UGCAGUCGAGCGAAUGGAUUAAGAGCUUGCUCUUAUGAAGUUAGCGGCGGACGGGUGAGUAACACGUGGGUAACCUACCCAUAAGACUGGGAUAACUCCGGGAAACCGGGGCUAAUACCGGAUAAUAUUUUGAACUGCAUAGUUCGAAAUUGAAAGGCGGCUUCGGCUGUCACUUAUGGAUGGACCCGCGUCGCAUUAGCUAGUUGGUGAGGUAACGGCUCACCAAGGCGACGAUGCGUAGCCGACCUGAGAGGGUGAUCGGCCACACUGGGACUGAGACACGGCCCAGACUCCUACGGGAGGCAGCAGUAGGGAAUCUUCCGCAAUGGACGAAAGUCUGACGGAGCAACGCCGCGUGAGUGAUGAAGGCUUUCGGGUCGUAAAACUCUGUUGUUAGGGAAGAACAAGUGCUAGUUGAAUAAGCUGGCACCUUGACGGUACCUAACCAGAAAGCCACGGCUAACUACGUGCCAGCAGCCGCGGUAAUACGUAGGUGGCAAGCGUUAUCCGGAAUUAUUGGGCGUAAAGCGCGCGCAGGUGGUUUCUUAAGUCUGAUGUGAAAGCCCACGGCUCAACCGUGGAGGGUCAUUGGAAACUGGGAGACUUGAGUGCAGAAGAGGAAAGUGGAAUUCCAUGUGUAGCGGUGAAAUGCGUAGAGAUAUGGAGGAACACCAGUGGCGAAGGCGACUUUCUGGUCUGUAACUGACACUGAGGCGCGAAAGCG
RNAcentral lists this ribosomal RNA (724 nucleotides) under Bacillus sp. (in: firmicutes). Its description in RNAcentral is "bacterial SSU rRNA". It matches the Rfam family "Bacterial small subunit ribosomal RNA", at positions 56 to 761 of the family's 1533-position model. The record is from RNAcentral. Lineage: Bacteria; Bacillati; Bacillota; Bacilli; Caryophanales; Bacillaceae.